UCUUCAAGUCCAAGCCCAAUUUUGGAUUCAAGCCUAAUGCUUCAUUAAUUCCUGAAAUUAGAUUAAAAACAUCAAAUUAGCUGAAUGAGCCCAAAUAAUAAAAUUGCCUAAUUAAUUUGAAAAUUAAGACUAAUUAGUAAUUAAAAUGGUGCAAAAAGGGUUAAGAAAUAGGAGGAAAAAAUGGCACAUCAUAGACUAAAUACAAUGUACGUCAAGUACACCCAGUGGAGGUUACAGAGGACCG
Molecule: long non-coding RNA, 244 nt
Filed under: Glycine max (soybean)
Lineage: Eukaryota; Viridiplantae; Streptophyta; Magnoliopsida; Fabales; Fabaceae
Description: long non-coding RNA (GMAX_LNC003913)
Source: RNAcentral